Molecule: long non-coding RNA, 2418 nt
Organism: Triticum aestivum (bread wheat)
Lineage: Eukaryota; Viridiplantae; Streptophyta; Magnoliopsida; Poales; Poaceae
Exons: 2
Source: RefSeq, a predicted model, not a curated record
AGUACUUUUCAAUAAUAUACAUUACAACUAUAUAAUAAAUUAAUAAUAAAAUAGGCAUUUAACUUUGUUUUGUUGUUAAGUAUGCCAAAUAAGUAAUGGAAAUUUAUACUCCUUAACACAAUAGCAUAUUAAGUAUAAAAUUUUAGUAUAAAUUCGAAAUAUACUAAAUCUAGCUAGAUUUCUUUUACCUGGUUUUUUGACUUUUUUCUAUCAAUGAAAAGUCGGCCAAUGAGAUAGGGACACGUUAUUUACUGGGGGACAUAGGCGUGUAAGCGCCGGGGUGGACCUAGCGAUUUAGGUUACGAUCAGGGGACAUUCUCUCCGCCCGCAUAUGGGCUGCAUGCCGGCGUGUUUGAUUUGGUCACAUGGUUUUUGUCUGCUUGCUGUUUUGCCUGUGGCCGGCUGCAUGGCGCCGUGAUUCCUGGGCCGGCUGCUGCAUGUGCGUCUGCAUGCCGCCGUGGUUGAUUCAACUGCAUUUUUUUCUUACGUGCUUUUUCUGCCGUUCACUUGCAUGCCGUUUGAGUUUUUGCUUCUCUGUACGUGCGUGUCCAUCCACCUGUUACAUGGAUAGUGGUCAUUGUACGAUGUUGUUAUACGUCGAGUGCGUUGUGUUGAUUGGGAGCUCGCCACGUUAUUCGGUACUGCCACCGUCUGUUUAGAGGUUGACGUGUGUUGGGCUUCCAGGCGGUGCCGCUCUUGCCAUAUGGUCUCGAAACCAUUUUUCUCGAUCGUUCUGUAUCCUCCUGGUUGAUUCAAUUAAGGUUUCUUGUUCCUGGGGACGCUAUAUAUAGGUGGCUCUCCCCGUUGGUUCUCUUUGCCUUGUGGGCUACCAUUUCUAUUUUAUGCCUAUUGAUGGUUCGUCCUGCCUCUGCCCGGAGCUGGAGCAACUUGCGCCGCUCAGGUCGCCAUCCUGGUGUUCGAGCAGCCGUCAUUAAUCGGGUGUGUCAUGGCCGGAGCCGAGCUACUGCUUGAGGUCGUCGUGCGUUAGUGAGAGAGGGAUGCCGUUGGUGGCCGAUUGUCCGCUGUUCAUUCAUUGCGCCGGGGUCACCAUGCAGGGCUGGGUCUACAUCUUUAUAAUGAUUCGUCUGCUGGUGGUUUGUAUAUUCUGGCGGCCACAACCUCGGCGACCCGGGCUACAACGAAAGCGGCUGUGGUGGGGACGGACGAUGCUCCUGCUGCGCGCGGAGCUCUCGUGGAGGUGGCUCAUGCAUCUGGUGCGCCUGCAGGGGCGGCGGUAUUGAACUCUUGAUGGUGCGCAUGGCGUACGUCGUGACUCGUGAGGCAAAGCAGCCUGGGGGCGUGAGGUCGCCCGCUCGAUGGUGCCUGCGUGCAGGUUUCCCGGGAUCCGUCUUGGGUGCUAGAGCUAUCACGCCGCCGCCACUCCAGUCGCUGCCUCCGGCCGCUGUGAAGCUCCGCUGCUCGCAAGUCGUGCGGAGACAACCGUUGUCUAGCCCAGUUUACUUGUCGGAGCCGAUCCGGUGCUUAGAGAGAGAGAGAGGAGGUAGCGGUAUGGGGCUCAUGAUGCCAAGGUCCACGGUCCAGCUGCCACUGUCCUACCUCGGUCUAGGUUGAGCUCGAGGGCGGGAGCUGGCGGUGCGCUAGGGAACCGGAGGAACGAGAUUGGUUAGGCAAGAUCCGGAUGGGAGGAAUCUCCGCUGCUUUCCAGGGUCGCAGUCGUGGCCGUGCCGCCGUGCUCCACAGCAUGGAGUAUGCCAUCGUCACGGACUCAGACGACCAUUGCCCGGGUGAUUCUUUGCUGUUCGCGGCGUGGUUGGUCGCCACGACACUCAACUUCGCGGAUUCUACGUCCGGUGUCCGCUAUCGGCCGGCUCUAUGCAGGCGACUAUGAGGUGGCGGGGCAGUCGACGGGCCCUGGGCAUGCCGGCGCACGCGUUCUCGUCGACCAAUGGGCUAUUCUCCGGGACGCAUUGGGGGUGCUCAGCGGCUUCGUGUUGCGCGCGUCGCUGGACGCAGCCGUCGAUUAGGGAUCGCUGGCGGGUGCACGAGAUGGACGACCUGCUCAGGUUUGGCUACUCGAUGGAGAAUGACAACCAGGCGCGGAUCCGCCUGACUAUCAUGUCACGGGAGUUGACGAAAGACGACGUCGUCACGGUAUCCAGAGCCUGUACGAGAGCAACUCAAACUUCAAGGGCGUCACGCCGCCGGCGACGAGCUGCAGGGAAAUCCACAGCGGUCUGCGAGCAUGCACUUCGCGCGGUGGAGCGGCUUGGCUGGCGUAGCGCGCACAAGCGUUUGUGUGGGUAGUUGCUCAUCGAUGGACGACCUUUUUUUCAGAACCUCGUGAGCAUUUAAACACUGGUCACUGGGUGUGGAAGAUAGCGUAUAUUGUAUAUACGUGAUUUUUACAUGUAUAGAGCAAAUCAUACACGAAUUAAUAGAUACUGGAGGCUUUUCAAA